AUUGAACGCUGGCGGCAUGCUUUACACAUGCAAGUCGAACGGGAGCGCGGGCUUCGGCCUGGCGGCGGGUGGCGGACGGGUGUGUAAUUUAUCGGAAAGUGCCCAGUAGUGGGGGAUAGGCCGGCGGAAGCCGGUUUAAUCACGCAUACGGCCUGAGGGUGUAAGAGGGGGACCGAAUGGCCUCGCGCUAUUGGCUCUGCGGCUUAUGGAUUAGCUUGGUUGUGUGUUAAAGGCUUACCAAGGCGACGAUCCGUGCCAGGUCUGAGAGGAACACCAGCCACACUGGUACUUGGACACGGCCCCGACUCCUACGGGAGGCAGCAGUGGGGAAUUUUGGACAACGGGGGCAACCCUGAUCCAGCCAUGCCGCGUGCGGGAAGAAGGCCUUCGGAUUGUAAACCGCUUUUGUUCGGGAAGAAAUCCUCUGGGCUACUACCCCGGGGGUAUGAAGGUACCGAAAGAAUAAGCACCGGCUAACUACGUG
Molecule: ribosomal RNA, 484 nt
Filed under: uncultured bacterium
Lineage: Bacteria
Description: partial 16S ribosomal RNA
Rfam family: Bacterial small subunit ribosomal RNA
Source: RNAcentral